Molecule: transfer RNA, 87 nt
Filed under: Euryarchaeota archaeon TMED255
Lineage: Archaea; Methanobacteriati; Methanobacteriota
Description: tRNA-Leu
Rfam family: tRNA
About the family: Transfer RNA (tRNA) molecules are approximately 80 nucleotides in length. Their secondary structure includes four short double-helical elements and three loops (D, anti-codon, and T loops).
Source: RNAcentral
GCCGGAGUGGUGGAAUUGGUAGACACGUCGGAUUCAAAAUCCGAUGCCCUUAAAAGCGUGCCGGUUCGAGUCCGGCCUCCGGUACCA